GCUGGGCACGGUGGCAUGUGCCUGUAAUCCCAGCUACUUGGGAGGCUGAGACAGAAGAAUUGCUUGAACCCAGGAGGCAGAGGUUGCAGUGAGCUGAGAUCGCGCCACUACACUCCAGCCUGGGCAACAAAGCGAGACUCUGUCUCAA
This 148-nucleotide non-coding RNA is filed under the name Homo sapiens (human). The record is from Rfam by way of RNAcentral. Lineage: Eukaryota; Metazoa; Chordata; Mammalia; Primates; Hominidae.